AUUGAACGCUGGCGGCAUGCCUUACACAUGCAAGUCGAACGGCAGCACGGGUGCUUGCACCUGGUGGCGAGUGGCGAACGGGUGAGUAAUACAUCGGAACGUACCUUAUCGUGGGGGAUAACGCAGCGAAAGCUGUGCUAAUACCGCAUACGCCCUGAGGGGGAAAGCGGGGGAUCGAAAGACCUCGCGCGAUUAGAGCGGCCGAUGCCUGAUUAGCUUGUUGGUGGGGUAAAAGCCCACCAAGGCGACGAUCAGUAGCUGGUCUGAGAGGACGAUCAGCCACACUGGGACCGAGACACGGCCCAGACUCCUACGGGAGGCAGCAGUGGGGAAUUUUGGACAAUGGGGGCAACCCUGAUCCAGCAAUGCCGCGUGAGUGAAGAAGGCCUUCGGGUUGUAAAGCUCUUUUGUCAGGGAAGAAACACCGGCUCUAACACAGUCCGGGAAUGACGGUACCUGAAGAUUAAGCACCGGCUAACUACGUGCCAGCAGCCGCAGUAA
RNAcentral lists this ribosomal RNA (501 nucleotides) under uncultured bacterium. RNAcentral describes it as "partial 16S ribosomal RNA". It matches the Rfam family "Bacterial small subunit ribosomal RNA", at positions 29 to 523 of the family's 1533-position model. The record is from RNAcentral.